UUCAUGUUUAUUUUUGAGAGAGAGAGAGACAGAGGGUGAGCAGGGGAGGGGCAGAGAGAGGAAGACACAGAAUCCGAGGCAGGCUCCAGGCUCUGAGCUAUCAGCACAGAGCCAGACAUGGAGCCUGAACAUGUGAACCUUGAGAUCAUGACGUGAGCCGAAGUCGGCCACUUAACCGACUGAGCCACCCAGGCACCCCUAGGUCUUAGCUUUUAAAUCCUAUUCUUAAAGGAACCAGGGCUCCCUGGAGAACUAAUUGAUUUCAGGGCUGGAGUAGUGGAAAUACAAGAUGAGCCUAGAGAUCUUGUGCUACCAGAGUGCUUAAAAACAAACAAAAACAGUAUAUCAACGUUUUUUUUAAAUCAACCAGAAAAAAACCAAGCUGAAACAACUGAAAUAAUGAUAGUACUGAAUUCUAACCCAAAGAAUUAUAACACCAUCAAUUCUUGGUGACUAUGAAUAAAGCUACUAUAAACAUAUAAACAGAUAAAGCAAUUUCAGGUUUUGGUAUGAACAUGUUUUUAUUUCUUUUGGGAAAAUUAUCUAGCAGUGGUAAACAAAUAUCCAUGAGUCCCCACUGAUACCGGUAAGUGAAUUAAGAAAUGGCAUUGGAGGAAAAAGAAGCAACAGCUCUUCUUUUCUGAAGAAUUCCAAAUUUAAACAUAGAAGGAAUAUGGGGAAUAGAAAAUCACCAUCAGAACACCACUUUGGGGGCACCUGGGUGGCUCAGUCGGUUGAGCAUCCGACUUCAGCUCAGGUCAUGAUCUCAAGGUUUGAAAGUUCAAGCCUCAUGUCAGGCUCUUUGCUGUCAGCACAGAACCUGCUUCAGAUCCUCUGUCCCUCUCUCUCUGUCCCUCCCCUGCUUGCACGGUCUCAAAAACAAAUAAUUUACUUAAAAAAAAAAAAAAGAA
Long non-coding RNA from Neofelis nebulosa (Clouded leopard), 911 nucleotides. RefSeq lists it as uncharacterized. The transcript has 2 exons. Lineage: Eukaryota; Metazoa; Chordata; Mammalia; Carnivora; Felidae. The record is from RefSeq and is a predicted model, not a curated record.